CUGAUCGAAAAUUUUACCGAUACGUACACCAUUGUGUUAAAAAACGGAAUUCCCCCACUCUGCUUUUUUUUACUUUGGUAUCUUAUGAGUCUUCGGACCAAAUUUAGGGCAAUCUGUAAGUUUUCAUACCCUAUUAAUUCGUUCGAGGGGGGCAUUUACUGAUUGAUACGGUCUAGUUUGUUUGGAUGUCCGAGAUAACGUGAAGGCUGAUAAUUCUGUAUUUUAAGGCUGCAGAUGCCUACCAGAACAGAAACUGUCAAAAUAUUUUCCUAACUUAUGAGCAUUAGAGUGAUAUUGAGUUUUUAUGGUUUCCUUUGAAUUAGCGCACGUGGGACGAUUUUCCGGAGAGCACCCUCUUUUGUUCACCGUAGACUUGAAUUUCUAUAGAACUUGGACCCAAGCAAAAGUAAAGUUCGGUCAUCGUAACAUGAAACAUAAGUGUCGUCAACAACAUUAAUAACUUACUCCUGCAGCACUUCAUCUGAAUACUUAAGUUUUUUUCAGUCUGCUCUUAAGAAAGUAAGAAAGUGUGUUAAUUCAUUCUCUUCUCUUAUACCAUCUUCAAAAUGUGUGUUGUUGCUGCUUAUUUCACCUCUAGGAUGUUUUUCCUGACAAAGCAACAGAAAGGAAAAUUCUUUCUUUUGGUAUCAAAUGUCCAAGUGAAGGCUGCGAAUGGACCGGAGAACUUAGAGAAAAAGAGGUUCAUCUGUCUUCCUGCGAUUAUAAAGAUGUCCCUUGUCUCAACACAAACUGUCUCGUGAAAGUGCAAAGGAAAUACCUCUUUGACCACGUGUUCGUCAGCUGUGAUUGGAGAGUUGUCAUGUGCGAUCACUGUGGCGAACCACAACCACAGUGUCAUAUGCAGGAUCAUAUUGAUCAGUGCAGUCAGUUCCCAGUAACUUGUCCAAACAAUUGCGGUUGUUCAAUCCCUAGAGGAAGGGU
This is a long non-coding RNA of Stylophora pistillata, 942 nucleotides long. Lineage: Eukaryota; Metazoa; Cnidaria; Anthozoa; Scleractinia; Pocilloporidae. The record is from RefSeq and is a predicted model, not a curated record.